Molecule: non-coding RNA, 101 nt
Organism: Mycena galopus ATCC 62051
Lineage: Eukaryota; Fungi; Basidiomycota; Agaricomycetes; Agaricales; Mycenaceae
Source: the annotation of a GenBank genome assembly
UCGGACGUGGUGCGCGGUGCACGCCUGCUUAUAGUUGUCGGACUUAGUCUCCAAGAAUUACUUACGGCAGGACAAUCUGAGUUCGACUCUCAGCGUUCGAG